GCUCAGGACGAACGCUGGCGGCGUGCUUAACACAUGCAAGUCGAGCGGUAAGGCCUUUCGGGGUACACGAGCGGCGAACGGGUGAGUAACACGUGGGUGAUCUGCCCUGCACUCUGGGAUAAGCCUGGGAAACUGGGUCUAAUACCGGAUAUGACUGCAGCAUGCAUGUGCUGUGGUGGAAAGCUUUUGUGGUGCAGGAUGGGCCCGCGGCCUAUCAGCUUGUUGGUGGGGUAAUGGCCUACCAAGGCGACGACGGGUAGCCGACCUGAGAGGGUGACCGGCCACACUGGGACUGAGACACGGCCCAGACUCCUACGGGAGGCAGCAGUGGGGAAUAUUGCACAAUGGGCGGAAGCCUGAUGCAGCGACGCCGCGUGAGGGAUGAAGGCCUUCGGGUUGUAAACCUCUUUCAGCAGGGACGAAGCGCAAGUGACGGUAC
RNAcentral lists this ribosomal RNA (439 nucleotides) under Rhodococcus sp. (in: high G+C Gram-positive bacteria). RNAcentral's name for it is "bacterial SSU rRNA". It matches the Rfam family "Bacterial small subunit ribosomal RNA", at positions 22 to 478 of the family's 1533-position model. The record is from RNAcentral. Lineage: Bacteria; Bacillati; Actinomycetota; Actinomycetes; Mycobacteriales; Nocardiaceae.